RNAcentral lists this transfer RNA (76 nucleotides) under Metallosphaera sedula. RNAcentral describes it as "tRNA-Gln". It matches the Rfam family "tRNA". From Rfam's summary of the family: Transfer RNA (tRNA) molecules are approximately 80 nucleotides in length. Their secondary structure includes four short double-helical elements and three loops (D, anti-codon, and T loops). Further hydrogen bonds mediate the characteristic L-shaped molecular structure. tRNAs have two regions of fundamental functional importance: the anti-codon, which is responsible for specific mRNA codon recognition, and the 3' end, to which the tRNAs corresponding amino acid is attached (by aminoacyl-tRNA synthetases). tRNAs cope with the degeneracy of the genetic code in two manners: having more than one tRNA (with a specific anti-codon) for a particular amino acid; and 'wobble' base-pairing, i.e. permitting non-standard base-pairing at the 3rd anti-codon position. RNAcentral also lists the same sequence under 1 other name. Lineage: Archaea; Thermoproteati; Thermoproteota; Thermoprotei; Sulfolobales; Sulfolobaceae. The record is from RNAcentral.
AGCCGGGUAGUCUAGCGGCCAAGGAUCCAGGGCUCUGGCCCCUGGGACCCCGGUUCGAAUCCGGGCCCGGCUACCU